CGGCGGACGGGUGAGUAACGCGUGGGUAACCUACCCUGUACACACAGAUAACAUACCGAAAGGUAUGCUAAUACGGGAUAAUAUAUUUGAGGGGCAUCUCUUGAAUAUCAAAGGUGAGCCAGUACAGGAUGGACCCGCGUCUGAUUAGCUAGUUGGUAAGGUAACGGCUUACCAAGGCGACGAUCAGUAGCCGACCUGAGAGGGUGAUCGGCCACAUUGGAACUGAGACACGGUCCAA
This 238-nucleotide ribosomal RNA is filed under the name uncultured bacterium. Its description in RNAcentral is "partial 16S ribosomal RNA". It matches the Rfam family "Bacterial small subunit ribosomal RNA", at positions 96 to 334 of the family's 1533-position model. The record is from RNAcentral.